AGAAACUUAGGAUAGUCCUUUAAACUGAAGGCCUUCAAAGCCUUAAACAAGAGUUAAACUCUCUUAGCUUCUA
Transfer RNA from Cariama cristata (Red-legged seriema), 73 nucleotides. It matches the Rfam family "tRNA". Rfam says of the family: Transfer RNA (tRNA) molecules are approximately 80 nucleotides in length. Their secondary structure includes four short double-helical elements and three loops (D, anti-codon, and T loops). The record is from Rfam. NCBI's taxonomy places the organism in Eukaryota, Metazoa, Chordata, Aves, Cariamiformes, Cariamidae.